GGCACCAAAGUUGUAAUGUUCCAUAAUGUCAAAAAUGAGUAUAUAGCAGUGCAUUUUUCACAUAAUAGUAUGAUUUGUACAUCAAACUUGAGUAAGCAUAUGCCGGUAUAAUACCUAGUGUACGUUACAAAUUAAUUAUGUCGACAUGCCCAAAAUAAAUACAUCUUGAUAAUGUUGUCAUCCCCUCCCCCGCGGGCACACACUGAUAAAUGUAUGGAUAGUUGCAUGCUCGGCAUGAAGACACGCGUGCUAUAUGAACUGAUCUUGACCUCCAAGCCGACAUGAACUGUACAAGUCAGACCAAAGCACGAAAGUAGUUAGAAAAUGCAUUCCUAUUUGAAGAGUAACUAAUCGUAUGGAUAAGCUCAUAUUAACCUGUCAAUUUGGGAUCCAAUUCAAGUUUUUUCUUGGAAAGUUUCAGAAAGAAAUUGGAAUGGAAUAAUAUAGAUGCAUACAGAGGAAAAGGUUCUCUACUGAUCGGUUUCAAAAAAUAUCCAGAAAUCCAAUUUGGCUCCCGGGAGCAUUUGCUCCUGCGCGUGAAAAAUAAAUUUUGAAUAUGAAAAAAAUUCCAAUAAAAUUUUGAUGUAUUUAUAAUCACAUCCAAAUGCUACCUGGAAAUUUUAGACAAAAAGGUUCAAUAUUUUGGUCCAUGCAAAAAUAAAAGUUCGAACAUCAUUUUACCCCAAAAUGUCACCCUGAAUUUGUUGUUUCCACCGGUGAAACACUACCGCUCCGUUUCAAACGAACGCUAUCAAGCAUGAGAGAGAGAGAGAGAGAGAGAGAGAGAGAGAGAGAGAGAGAGAGAGAGAUCUGCGUGAUUCCAGCUCUAAUAGAAAGGGAGAUGGGAGGGGGGGGUUGAUUAACUAAGCUAGCUUCAGUGUAUGAGAUAUCAAUAAAGCCUUCAGUUUGAACAAGAUAUAGUCUUCCUUCAUUUUAUUUGGGUGUACGAACUGGAAUUUUUCAAUUUUUGUAUCAUCUCUUUGACUUGCAUAUCUCUAGAAUAUGACACUCUCCAUGAAUUGUUCUUCUUUGUGCUGAUGCGAAACCUAUCUAUUUAAGCAAGGAGACGCUUUCAACACCCAAGUGUCCCUACACCCUCUAUGAACAUUAAAUUGAGAAACAACUGAAACCAAAAUAAAAAAAAUCUGAAACUUUGGAACACUAAACAUGACCAAACAUUCUAUGUUCUUGCAAAAUAUCGGCCUCAAAUAACAUUCGAGGAGCCCUCACCUAAAAAUAAAAAUUAGUGUUCAUAGUUUAUAUGCACUUUUGAACAGUAUUGUUUUUUGUGAGGGGUGCUCAACUGUUAUUUGUGGCUACAAGAACUUCAGAAGUUUGAUCAUCUUUGUUUCCUCAAAGUUUUAGAUUUUUUGGUUUAUUUAUUUGAAUUUAUUGUUUAUGAGGGUGUAGAGGCACCGGGGAACCGUCACACCUUUUCUUUAAGCAAGACACAUCUGGCCUCUCGUCUAAUAAAGUCUCUGAUCUGUUUCAUGCUCUAAGCAUUAUCGUUUGUUUUGCCGGCGGUCCAUGAGUAAUAAAGAAAAGAUGUGUGCUUCAUGUGUGCCAGUUGAAUAAGAGCAAGUACAAUAGUAGAGCCGGCUGCCGGCUGUAAGCUCAUGCCAUGUUACCUAUAGUCCAUCUUAUGGCUAACAUGUACAAUAGUUGGUUAGAGGAUUGUACUACUUAUUUAUUAUAUGACCCACCUUUCAUUCUCAUAAAGUGCCUAGGAGCACGUGCUAGAGCUGG
This 1746-nucleotide long non-coding RNA is filed under the name Hordeum vulgare. RNAcentral describes it as "long non-coding RNA (HVUL_LNC017562)". Lineage: Eukaryota; Viridiplantae; Streptophyta; Magnoliopsida; Poales; Poaceae. The record is from RNAcentral.